Molecule: non-coding RNA, 95 nt
Organism: Melissococcus plutonius ATCC 35311
Lineage: Bacteria; Bacillati; Bacillota; Bacilli; Lactobacillales; Enterococcaceae
Rfam family: RNA anti-toxin A
Source: Rfam
UAAUAAGAAUAUAAAAAAAGAGAGAUAUGCGCUAACAUAUCCCUCAAUUGUAGAACCGUUUAAGACGGUGGCAAGUUUAGUUUUUUGAUAAAAAA